RNAcentral lists this ribosomal RNA (904 nucleotides) under Pirellulales bacterium. Its description in RNAcentral is "bacterial SSU rRNA". It matches the Rfam family "Bacterial small subunit ribosomal RNA", at positions 1 to 915 of the family's 1533-position model. The record is from RNAcentral. Lineage: Bacteria; Pseudomonadati; Planctomycetota; Planctomycetia; Pirellulales.
CAAUUGAAGGGUUUGAUUCUGGCUCAGAAUGAACGUUGGCGGCGUGGAUUAGGCAUGCAAGUCGAGCGAGAAGUUUACUUCGGUAAAUGGACAGCGGCGAAAGGGACAGUAAUGUGUAGGUACCUACCCCCCGAUCUGGGAUAGCUGCGGGAAACUGCAGGUAAUACCGGAUAAUGUCUUCGGACCAAAGGUGUGAUUCCGUCAGGGGAGGGGCCUGCAUCCUAUUAGCUUGUUGGUGAGGUAAUGGCUCACCAAGGCAACGAUGGGUAGCGGGUGUGAGAGCAUGACCCGCGUCAUUGGGACUGAGACACUGCCCAGACAUCUACGGAUGGCUGCAGUCGAGAAUCUUCGGCAAUGGGCGAAAGCCUGACCGAGCGACGCCGCGUGCGGGAUGAAGGCCCUCGGGUUGUAAACCGCUGUCGUUGGGGAGGAAAUGCAAAAGGGUUAUCCCUUCUGUUUGACCGAUCCAAGGAGGAAGUACGGGCUAAGUUCGUGCCAGCAGCCGCGGUAAGACGAACCGUACGAACGUUAUUCGGAAUUACUGGGCUUAAAGGGUGCGUAGGCUGCACGGAAAGUUGGGUGUGAAAGCCCUCAGCUCAACUGAGGAAUUGCAUCCAAAACUGCCGUGCUAGAGGGAGACAGAGGUGAGCGGAACUCAAGGUGGAGCGGUGAAAUGCGUUGAUAUCUUGAGGAACACCGGUGGCGAAAGCGGCUCACUGGGUCUCUUCUGACGCUGAGGCACGAAAGCUAAGGUAGCAAACGGGAUUAGAUACCCCGGUAGUCUUAGCUGUAAACGAUGAGCACUUGAUUGGAGGGUCCUCCAUAGCCUUCCAGUCGUAGCGAAAGUGUUAAGUGCUCCGCCUGGGGAGUAUGGUCGCAGGGCGGAAACUCACAGAACUUUCAG